Long non-coding RNA from Octodon degus (degu), 270 nucleotides. RefSeq lists it as uncharacterized. The transcript is spliced from 3 exons. The record is from RefSeq and is a predicted model, not a curated record. NCBI's taxonomy places the organism in Eukaryota, Metazoa, Chordata, Mammalia, Rodentia, Octodontidae.
GCACUGAUUACAGGUGAGCGGCACCCACCAGUGUGGCAACCUCUUGCCACGAUCAGGAAGCGAGAACUUUCUGAGCCAGAACCCAGGGUAUUCUGACCUAACUGGAUACAUUCUGACUACUUCAAAGUUCUCCAGACCAGAAGAUAGCUCAGCAGCACAGUGUUGGCCUGGCAAGCAUAACGUCCCAGGCUCAAUUCCCAAAACAAAAAAAGAGAAAGAAACCACAUCGGAAGUUAAAUUGCUGGGGCCAGGGAGAUGGCUCAGUGGAAU